GAUGAACGCUGGCGGCGUGCCUAAUACAUGCAAGUCGAGCGAACAGACGAGGAUCUUGCUCCUCUGACGUUAGCGGCGGACGUGUGAGUAACACGUGGAUAACCUACCUAUAAGACUGGGAUAACUUCGGGAAUCCGGAGCUAAUACCGGAUAAUAUAUUGAACCGCGUGGUUCCAUAGUGAAAGACGGUUUUGCUGUCACUUCUAGAUGGAUCCGCGCCGCAUUAGCUAGUUGGUAAGGUAACGGCUUACCAAGGCUACGAUGCGUAACCGCCCUGCGAGGGUGAUCGGCCACACUGGAACGGGGACACGGUCCAGACGCCUACGGGAGGCAGCAGUAGGGAAUCGUCCGCAAUGGGCGAAAGCCUGAGGGAGCAACGCCGCGUGAGUGAUGAAGGUCUUCGGAUCGUAAAACUCUGUUAUUAGGGAAGAACAAAUGUGUACGUAACUAUGCACGUCUUGACGGUACCUGAUCAGAAAGCCACGGCUAACUACGUG
This 497-nucleotide ribosomal RNA is filed under the name uncultured bacterium. RNAcentral describes it as "partial 16S ribosomal RNA". It matches the Rfam family "Bacterial small subunit ribosomal RNA", at positions 28 to 507 of the family's 1533-position model. The record is from RNAcentral.